AGCACCGUCGGCUGCAGCCCCGAUUGCAUCGACAGUUCCGUCUCGGCGGACAUUUCAACCUUAAAAAAAAAAAAAUUGUUUUUUGUUUUUCUGUUGUUUUAAAUUUUAUUGGCCUCGGUUAAGGUGGUGGGGAGAGAGAAGGGGGAGGAGAAAUCGAAAUCGUGACCUUGACGGGUGAAAUUUUGGGUCAAAACCGGUUUUUGAUUUUGGCAACAGAAGUGUACCUUGAAGGGAAAAGUCAGUUGGGUUAAAGGAGGCCAUGCACCUACUAGACCGGAUUUGUCUUUUGUUAUGUCCAAGUGACGUCACGGCAGCCCUUAAAGGAGACCAUACACCUCGAGCUCUGUGGCUUGACUAUAGUAAUAAAUGAUAAAGGAGAUCAUGCACCUAAUUCGGAUUAGUUAGUGCACGACGCACUUUUUAUGGCACGCCUUAAGUUAAGUAAACAAAUGCGAUUUAUGCAUGCACCAUUAUCGCUGAUAAGCCGAUUACAAUAGACAUUGUUUCCACGUAUUGUUAAGUGGUUUAAAAAUUAUUAAAAAUAUUCAAUAAUU
Anthonomus grandis grandis is the source of this 554-nucleotide long non-coding RNA. RefSeq lists it as uncharacterized. Lineage: Eukaryota; Metazoa; Arthropoda; Insecta; Coleoptera; Curculionidae. The record is from RefSeq and is a predicted model, not a curated record. The transcript has 2 exons.